UGGCCACAAAAGCCAAAUCAGUGGAAAGAAGUGAGUACGGUUUGGACCACCUGCUGUUGGGGUCUGUUUUAGAUGCUGCAACAGACUCUUCCUUGUUGAUGUAAGGAGCGAGAGGUUGGCAGUGCCAGGAGAUAUUCUYCAGCCAGGCUCCACUUCAAACCACUCCUGAGCUGCUGGUUUCAAAGUUCUUGAAAGAGAGCCAUUAUCCAGGCAACAGAUGUCCCGGACUGCUGGGCUUUCCUGGAGGAAAGCAACACGAAGGAUUGUUUUGUGGUAGCAUCUUUUCACCACGCCCUGCUGAAAAUACAGGCAAUAAACUGGAAGCAGCAAAGAAAUGUUUAUGAAAUAGCUUUCAUGGGCACUGCACAUGUGGUGAGAGGUUUGUAGAUUAGGUCAUGCCAUUUCCUGAAAAAUAUGUGCAAUGUUCUGGAUAUUUAACGGCAUAAAGAUGUAAUUAGCUUCAACUUUUUAAUGCUUUGGAAAACAGCAUCACCUUGAUUUGAAGAGAACUAUUAAAUAAGAUUGAGUUACCAUGCUGAGCACAGAUACAAUCUGAGGAGGGAACCUGACCCCGUCAGGAUUUCCUCUGCAGUGUGUUUGCAUUGUAUCAGCAUCUAAUCUGGUGUACAUAUCUACAUUUCUCUGUGUCCCAUUCAGACCAAAAAAAGCAAGCUGAGUAGCUUCACUAAAUCUUAAAAAAGGAGAAAUUUGCUACAGGAAGGAAAUUUUAUGAAAUGGYUUGGGUCUGCAUGGUCCAGGGUGCAUUUUUAAAGCAUCUGAAAUGUUAGAGUCUCUCAUGUCCUGCAAAAACCAUGAGAAGAAAGAGAAAAUGCUGCACGGCAAAGAUCUUCAGCAAGAUUUGCAAUGGGAAGAAUAAGAUUAAAAGUAAGAUAUGAGAUCCUAAAGACCUAUAUACAUUUUUCUGUCAACAGCAAAAUUCUGUGAAAACAUUCAGUCCCAUUUCUGAAAUCAGCCACUAGCAAACCGUGAGGUAUCCAAAGAUGCUGAAUCCACUCUGUCUUCUGAACUGUYCCAACCCCUAAUCUUUUGAUUAACAAGGCUUGGUUUUCAGAGGAAGGGAAUGAAAUAUUUUAACAGGACAAGUCAAGGCUGGUGAGAAUUUCAGGGGACAAGCAGAAGAGAUGCCCAUAGCCUGAGGUCAUGUCCCUAGCUGGGCACCAAAGACAUGGCUGCAAACAACAUGAAUGUGUUUAAGACAUCAAAAAUCAAAAAUGUUAAUCAAUACAGUGGUUACGUUGGAUAACUCAUUGCAUCGCUGACUUCCCAGACCUGGGCUAAUAAUGACCUUCUACCUUUCUAGUAAAUAAAAGCUAAAAYUAAACAUCCGAAAAACA
Molecule: long non-coding RNA, 1355 nt
Filed under: Dromaius novaehollandiae (emu)
Lineage: Eukaryota; Metazoa; Chordata; Aves; Casuariiformes; Dromaiidae
Description: lncRNA (ENSDNVG00000005979.1)
Source: RNAcentral